Gasterosteus aculeatus aculeatus (three-spined stickleback) is the source of this 2142-nucleotide long non-coding RNA. NCBI's taxonomy places the organism in Eukaryota, Metazoa, Chordata, Actinopteri, Perciformes, Gasterosteidae. The record is from Ensembl.
GGUUCGGUAAAACACCAGGAGUUACACCAACCACCCACACAUUUCCCAGUAUGAAAAACAACAAAUCUUUCCCUGUGUCCUUAUUUCUUCAUCUAAUAUUCUAACCUGCCAGUCCAAGAAUCACACGAGUAGGACUGCAGGACCAGAGGUAUCUACGUACCACACGGAUUGCAACUUGGAUUUCUACAGACUAAGAUUAACAUAAAUCCCUGCUCUAUUCUAAACUGCCAGUCCACUGCAUGCAAACGUGGGACCCCAGUCACCAGAGGUAUCUACGUACCACACGGAUUGCAACUUGGAUUUCUACAGACUAAGAGUCGACCUCAGGGAACUCAAGUGAGCCCCGUCAUUCCUUUUUAAACUCUUCAUGUAUUUACCUAAGUCCCUAAACCUAAAUCCCUACACUAUUCUAAACUGCCAGUCCACUGCAUGCAAACGUGGGACUGCAGUUACCAGAGGUAUCUACGUACCACACGGAUUGCAACUUGGAUUUCUACAGACUAAGAGUAUAUAUAUUUUUACCUAAAUCCCUAAACCUAUGGACACUUAUUCACUUUCCCUAACGUUGAAUUCAGUGUGAGUAUGUGCUUAUACUUUACAUGUGAUCAACAGGAAAUUUUCAAAUUUAGUUUUAAAUUUAGUGGUCUUAUGACGACCUUAUUCAGUCAAUGGACAGAGACGAAUUCUGCAGUUGACAACAAAUCUUUUUAGUAGUAUCCAAUCACAGACAUUUUAUUCAUUUAGAACAAAAGGUUGUCUGCUCACCUGAUUCUGUUUUGGGCCCUUGUUGUCAAUGCUGAACCACGCCGCCGGUCCUUUCAGCUCGGUCCGGAAAACGGACGUCCCCGUCUUUCUUUGUCCAGGUCAGCAAAUCACGUCGGGGUCACCAAAUUGUAAGAAUACGUGUUCAAGAUUUGGAGCCUGGUCGGGGUUAUCAAAAAUUCUGCCGAAUAACUUCUCUCGUUCUGGAAAAUUUAUUUGUCAGAUCACAGGUCAAGUAUCAGCGCUGCGUUUGCAAAGGCAGGAGCAGUUCAGGCAGCACACAGGCCGGAAGAACAACUAACUAACAUCAGCAAGGACAUCAUGUUUUAUAACCCUUGAAAGACAGAGAAGGAAAUAUUUCUAUUGGCCCUAAACUGGCGUAGAGGAGGACCUUCCACCUCCCGCAUCUAAGAUCCGGUCACAUCCAAUGUCCAGACUCCUGACUUAACGUAAACAUCGUAAACAGAGUGUGUAUGUUGAAUAGUGUUGGUGUGUCUCUAACCCCCCUUUGGCUGGUAAAUCUUCUAGUUGACCCGCAGACCUUACAUUCCUCAGCCAGGACAUAAACUGACUCCCCAUCCUGUCAGACUCGUGUCUGCCUGCUUGGCAGAUCCUGCUUCCCCCCUUACUUAACUCUUAAAUCAAGACAAGACAGCAAACCCCCAACUAAGCCCAUGAAAAGAACUUUUGAUUAUCAAGUCACACACAGGAUCUGGAAGACGCACCUCUACCCCUGCUGGAGCAGAGAGGGAUGACACAGAAGAGGAGAGACCACCUGUCAACAACCUGAGUGGCGCCAAAGGGAACCGUGAGCAGUGACCAAACAACCGUCAUCUCGCUGAGAGGAAGGACUUCCUCAGCCCAGAGUCUGCUUGACCACCGUGCAGGACCAGGAGGAAGCAUCAGAACCAGCACCGCAGAGCCGGACCAGAAGCAAGACCAACAUCAUUCUAGGAGACCAGAAGCAAGACUAGGACCGAUUCAGAAAGAGUCCAAGCAACCUUCCGAUCUCCCUUUUGAGAGCCAUCGAUUUCCAGUACAGACACUUCCAAGUUCCCGAUCCCCUCUACAAACACGGCCCCAUGGACAACAACAACAACAACCAUUUAGCACAAGAGAUCCUGAAAUGAUCGAGAAAACACCCUCACACACAAAUGGAGGUGAACCACUGCUGAAAGCGCUUACUGAAGAACCAGCAGAGAACAGUGACAUGGACAACCGCUUCUCAGGUUUAUUGGACUCUUGAUUUAGUAAAUACAAACAAUUGUUUAUUUCUGUGAUAACAGUCUCCAUUAUGGCCAGCAUUCUAUUCCUAGGUGGAUGCUGUUGCAUCCUCUGCAUCAGGACUCUUAUCAUUAGAAUCAUCAGAGAAGACCAGCC